Molecule: long non-coding RNA, 1193 nt
Organism: Sardina pilchardus (European sardine)
Lineage: Eukaryota; Metazoa; Chordata; Actinopteri; Clupeiformes; Clupeidae
Exons: 4
Source: RefSeq, a predicted model, not a curated record
CUCAUUUCUUGCAAAAUGGUAUUUCUGUACUGUUAAGUCGAUGAUCACGUUUUUAAAAACCUACAUCGAAUAGAUUAAUAAAGCGUUAGACUCGCUAAAGUCUAGCUAUGGCUAAAGUCUGAAGUGGAUAGCAAAAGAAAACCGUUAGAGGCAGACAGGCUAACUUUUUACUGUUCAUUAUAGUUUCACUAACGUCAAUCGUAAUGUCGACCGUCAGUAUUUAUCAGUAUUUAUCAGUAGAUUGUAAAUUAUUAGAAGUGUUAUAUCCUUUAGUAGUGUUUGUACUCUAGGCGCCAGUUAGCAUGUAACAGCAUGUGAAUGAAUGAACUGGCCACACUAGCAUGGUGCAUUUAUACCUGACGAUCUCUUUCAAGACAUUUGAAUAAAAAACGGACAUCAUGGUUAGUAUUUAUAGGGUCUGUACAUGUGGUCCCUAGCCUAGUUUGUCUGAGAAUUAAGUAGAAAUAUCCUUUAGAAGUGUUUGUACUUUAGGCGCUAGUUAGCAUGUAACAGCAUCUGAAUGAAUGAACUGACCACUACUGUAUGGUGCAUUUAUACCUGACGAUCUCUUUCAAGUCAUUUAAAUAAAACAUGGAUAUCAUGGUUAGUAUUUGUAGAGUCUGUAAAUGUGGUCCCUUGCUUGGUUUGUCUGAAAAUUAAGUGGAAAUAUCCUUUAGACGUGUUUGUACUUUAGGCGCUAGUUAGCAUGUGCCAGGUGUCAUACCAUUGCAGUAAUCAUCUCACUAAACACGUCUUUUCAUAUCCAAUCUGUUCAACAGAGUUUACCAGUCAGACCACUACACCUUUGCCAGCACCACCACCCAGCAAGCUUCAUCAACUCCAGCCAUGCCGAGUUUACCAGUCAGACCUACACCUCCGUCAAAUUCGCUCACAACGCUGCCAAUAACACCCCAGCAAGAUUUUUACAGACUUGUUCUGCAGCACUUCCGAACAAUUGAGGAGGAGCUGGGGUAAAGCAGCAGGUGGCUGUGAACACAUCUAUGCUGCAGAAGCUAGGUGGUGGUGGUGUGGCGGAUCUUGGCCUCGUGGAGGACAACAACAGGCCAUUGAGUAAUGUUGAGGACCUGGACGAGUUGGAGAGGCGGCUUGCAUCCGAUGCGGACCUGAAAAAUCAACUGGUGAACAUACUUGGGAGGGAAAACCACCGAGAUGCUGUUAAGAGGAUGCUGGGC